Molecule: ribosomal RNA, 419 nt
Filed under: bacterium
Lineage: Bacteria
Description: partial 16S ribosomal RNA
Rfam family: Bacterial small subunit ribosomal RNA
Source: RNAcentral
UGGGGGAUAUUGCACAAUGGGCGAAAGCAUGAUGCAGCGACGCCGCGUGGGGGAUGAAGGCCUUCGGGUUGUAAACUUCUUUUGCUCUGAACAAGGCAUGCUAAUGGGUGUGUUGAGUGUAGGGGUUGAUUAGCGCCGGCUAACUACGUGCCAGCAGCCGCGGUAAUACGUAGGGCGCGAGCGUUGUCCGGAAUUAUUGGGCGUAAAGGGCUUGUAGGUGGCUGGUUGCGUCUGUCGUGAAAGCUCAUGGCUUAACUGUGGGUUUGCGGUGGGUACUGGCUGGCUUUAGUGCAGUAGGGGAGGCUGGACUUCCUGGUGUAGCGGUGGAAUGCGCAGAUAUCAGGAGGAAUACCGGUGGCGAAGGCGGGUCGCUGGGCUGUUACUGACACUGAGGAGCGAAAGCAUGGGGAGCGAACAGG